RNAcentral lists this transfer RNA (61 nucleotides) under Rattus norvegicus (Norway rat). It matches the Rfam family "tRNA", at positions 7 to 64 of the family's 71-position model. From Rfam's summary of the family: Transfer RNA (tRNA) molecules are approximately 80 nucleotides in length. Their secondary structure includes four short double-helical elements and three loops (D, anti-codon, and T loops). Further hydrogen bonds mediate the characteristic L-shaped molecular structure. tRNAs have two regions of fundamental functional importance: the anti-codon, which is responsible for specific mRNA codon recognition, and the 3' end, to which the tRNAs corresponding amino acid is attached (by aminoacyl-tRNA synthetases). tRNAs cope with the degeneracy of the genetic code in two manners: having more than one tRNA (with a specific anti-codon) for a particular amino acid; and 'wobble' base-pairing, i.e. permitting non-standard base-pairing at the 3rd anti-codon position. Lineage: Eukaryota; Metazoa; Chordata; Mammalia; Rodentia; Muridae. The record is from Rfam by way of RNAcentral.
GUGGCUUAGUGGUUAAGAGCACUGUCUACCCCCUCCAGAGGUCCUGGGUUCAAUUCCCAGC